Molecule: long non-coding RNA, 556 nt
Organism: Eriocheir sinensis (Chinese mitten crab)
Lineage: Eukaryota; Metazoa; Arthropoda; Malacostraca; Decapoda; Varunidae
Exons: 4
Source: RefSeq, a predicted model, not a curated record
UACCACGGCUGACGAGCUCCACCUGCCCGGGUUUGUUGUUCGGAGUUUGCUCUCCUAGGCAGAUUGCCUACCACGGCUGACGAGCUCCACCUGCCCGGGUUUGUUGUUCGGAGUUUGCUCUCCUAGGUGAAUUGCCUACCACGGCUAACGACCUCCACCUGCCCGGGUUUGUUUAGAGUUUGCUCUCCUAGGUGAAUUGCCUCCCACGGCUGACGAGCUCCACCUGCCCGGGUUUAUUGUUCGGAGUUUGCUCUCCUAGGUGAAUUGCCUACCACGGCUAACGACCUCCACCUGCCCGGGUUUGUUUAGAGUUUGCUCUCCUAGGUGAAUUGCCUACCACGGCUAACGACCUCCACCUGCCCGGGUUUGUUUAGAGUUUGCUCUCCUAGGUGAAUUGCCUACCACGGCUAACGACCUCCACCUGCCCGGGUUUGUUUAGAGUUUGCUCUCCUAGGUGAAUUGCCUACCACGGCUAACGACCUCCACCUGCCCGGGUUUGUAUAGAGUUUGCUCUCCUAGGCAGAUUGCCUACCACGGCUAACGAGCUCCACCUGCC